AUCUCCGCCAAUGGCGGCCGCAGCCUCGCGGCCCCGGCGAUGGCGCCGGCGGAGCCGUGGGGCUCCGUGCGGGGAAAGUGGUGCUCCGCCGCCGCGCGUCCCCGCUGCCCCGUGCCUUGGGGACGCCGGGCGCUCAGGGGAAGGCGGCGCGGGGGCCCGUCCGUCCCUCGUCGGCACCGAGCCGUCCUCCGGAGUCGCCGUUCGGACGGAAGCCGGUUGGGAACGCCGUCGUUUCUCUGUCGCUCUGUGCGUUCGUCGAUUAAACGUUUCCCGUUCGUUUUUCGGCUCUUCUGCCCGCGGUCGUUUCUGUAGCUCCGGCUGCAGCUGCAAAAUGAAUCACCAGGCAUGUUAGCAGGGAAACACGGUAAUGGAAUUUGCUCCUGAAGAGGAUGCUGACAGUAGACCUUGGUUGCCUCACUCAGGAUUUGUCUGAGCUGAUCUCUGCAAUUCUGUCAGGUGAAACGUAUUGGGUAUUCAAGGAGCCUUCCUUAGCCUCUCUGUGGAACCAAUUUACUUCUCUAGCAUCGUCUUGGAGAGUUUAUAUCAUGGGAAUCAUCUAUCCAGAGCCGUAUACCAGAGGAUGGCAGAGAUAGAAGAUCUACCACCUCUUUAUACACUCAACAGACCUUUACUUAGUGGCAAGUACCUAAUGGAGAGAGCCGUACCGGUAACUAAGUCUGUUCCAGUACCAUUGUGAUUUUGCAGUUUUUCAAAACGUUGAAAAUAUGUCUUGUGAGUAAAUUGGUUUCUGGUUACAAAGCAGAAGAUACAGUGUAAACCUUGCAGGGAUACACAGACAGAGAUACCAUAGCAAGAACCCAUGGUGAGUUAAAAGAUGCCAAAAAAGCCAGGGUAUGAACUGAAGGCACUUUCACCUAAUUGCCAUCUGGAGUGUACCCUAGCAACAGGUAUUAGCAAUGCAGAAGCACGCCAACCAGGGAAAGAACCAAAUUUCAGUGUAAAUUGGACAGUGGGAGACAGUGGUCUUGAAGUUAUUAAUGCUACAACUGGAAAAGAUGAAAUGGGGCUUGCAUCUCGCCUCUGUAAGCAUGCUUUGUACAGCCACUGGAUGCAUGUUCAUGCAAAGCUUUCAUCCAGCUUGCGCUUGAAGAUCUUCAAGCCUAACCUGUACCAUGAAACCAAGCAAGGAGCCACUGAGUAUCAAACUGCCAAAGAGUGUUUAUUUAAAGCAUUCCUGAAGGCAGGACUUGGAACAUGGGUGGAGAAACCCAUAGAACAGGAUCAGUUUUCACUCACAGUCUAAUUCACAGUCUGCACGUCAGUUUGGAAGGGGAGUCGCUUUGGAAAUCCUGGUGUCCAGCAUUGCUUUCUGGCAUCUCCAUACCUGUUAAAACAUCUUUUUACUGUUUUUUCUUUUUCAAAACUUGGUAGUAACUGUUUUGGUUUUGCCUAAGUAUUGAAACUCAAUGAUAAUCUGGCACAUAAUUGUGUAUUUUGUUAUGAGAAAGUAAUUUCUGGUGUAUUUCUAGAAAUACUUUUACUGUAGAAAAUCUGCAGUAAGGCCGUCUGUCCUUACAGUAUACAAUGACUCAUUUUUUCUGGGUUAAAAUAAUUGCUUUUUUAAUUUGAUGUCAUCAAGUGCAUGAAGAAAUAAAUAUUUAUUCAGAUUUUACACCACACUUGUAAGAAGUAGCUUAAUUUUGUAAGAGGAAAAUAGGCAACAAAGAUGAUUCUUCUCCUCUUUUAAGUUGUUUUUGAAUUGCAGAUGUUGCUAGCAUCAUCUACAUCAUCAUACAUGCUAGAUGUUGCUAGCAUGUAGCUAGACCACUGGGCCAGGAUGAAGUCUGGACAAGUAGUUUUCCCCACUUCCUUGCUCUUUAAAACCAGCUGCUGAGAAAUUCAUGUCUUUGAUGUAUGUAUUUAUUAGUCUAUGAUCCCAUUUUUAACAUGCAGCUUUCUAUUCUGGUUUUAAAAAUACAUUUACCUCCCAUUUACACACAUUGUGAAGUCUUUUUUUUUUUU
Lagopus muta (rock ptarmigan) is the source of this 1983-nucleotide long non-coding RNA. RefSeq lists it as uncharacterized. The record is from RefSeq and is a predicted model, not a curated record. The transcript has 5 exons. Lineage: Eukaryota; Metazoa; Chordata; Aves; Galliformes; Phasianidae.